AUGCCCUUUUUAGGGUUGAUUCUGUGUUUUAAGAGGCUAACACAGAAGGGUAAAGGCACUCUCCAUAAAACUCAGAGAGGAGAUUAUAAAACUAUGGAUUCUGUCUGGAGUCACAGCU
This 118-nucleotide small nucleolar RNA is filed under the name Dasypus novemcinctus (nine-banded armadillo). Its description in RNAcentral is "Small nucleolar RNA SNORA26 (ENSDNOG00000029318.1)". It matches the Rfam family "Small nucleolar RNA SNORA26". From Rfam's summary of the family: The snoRNA HBI-6 belong to the H/ACA family of snoRNAs, guiding the pseudouridylation of position U4522 if the 28S rRNA. HBI-6 is the human orthologue of mouse MBI-6 snoRNA. The record is from RNAcentral. Lineage: Eukaryota; Metazoa; Chordata; Mammalia; Cingulata; Dasypodidae.